Ictalurus punctatus (channel catfish) is the source of this 4942-nucleotide long non-coding RNA. RefSeq lists it as uncharacterized. Lineage: Eukaryota; Metazoa; Chordata; Actinopteri; Siluriformes; Ictaluridae. The transcript is spliced from 3 exons. The record is from RefSeq and is a predicted model, not a curated record.
CUGGAGGGUACGGGCAUGUCUAUGACAGGACCGGACUGGAGUAGGACACAAACAGAGACGCAGAUAUGAUGGCCGGGUGUGUGUGCGUCGCUUAGCUGGGGAAGAGAUGCCACCAGGAUGCACUAUGGGAAGAAGGCAAGCCAGCGGAGGAAGUGUGAUGCUGCGGGCAAUGUUCUGCUGAGAAUCUUUGGGUCCUGGCAUUCAUGGGGAUGCUAUUUGACACGUACCACAUACCUUAACAUUGUUGCAGACCUUCAUCUUCAACGGUAUUUCCUAAUGUUGUUGGCAUUAAGGGAACAGCACUCUCCUGGCUCAGGUCUUAUUUGACUGAUUGCUAUCGGAUUGUAGAUGUAAAUGGUGACAUCUCUAUGCAUACUGAGGUAAAGUUUGGUGUUCCACAAGGUUCUGUUUUAGGCCCACUGCUUUUUACUUUAUAUAUGCUACCUCUAGGUCAAAUCAUUCGUAAACAUGGAAUUAGCUUCCACCGUUAUGCUGAUGAUGCACAGUUGUAUGUUUCAGCAAGCCAGAUGACAGACAGCAACUUAAUAAAGUUGAGGAAUGUGUAAAGGGCAUUAGACGUUGGAUGCUUAUUAACUUCCUCUUACUUAAUUCUGACAAGACUGAAGUACUUGUACUGGGACCACAUGUAGCUAGAAGUAAGCUUUCUGAUUACAUAGUAACUCUAGAUAGCCUUUCUGGUUCAUCAUGUUCAGCAGUAAAAGACCAUGGCGUGAUUAUUGACUCCAGUCUUUCAUUUGACGCUCAUGUAGAUAAUAUUACUAGGAUACCCUCCUUUCAUCUCAGAAACAUUUCUAAGAUAAGAAAUAUAAUGUCACUCCAUGAUGCAGAAAAAUGAAUAAUUAGUAAGGCAUUGUAAUGCAGGGGAAGAGCUUUGUCUUACAAAGCCCCACAGUUAUGGAACAGCCUUCCAAUUUGUGUUCGGGACUCAGACACAGUCAGGCUGAAAACAUAUUUGUUUAGUCAAGUUUCUUGUAAAUAUUUUUUUUCUUAGGUAAAAAAGCAGAUCUAGAGGGCUCACAUGCAUAGAGUGUUGUGGUGAACUGGGAUGUUUGGUGCUGUCAACCCCCACUUUCACGCGUUCCCAGGUUUGUUGAUGGUGGAGUGGCUGGCCUCCCUAUGUCCCAUGCAGCUUUCAUGUCUGUGUUAACUUCUGGCACUCCCUUGCCAGAGUCUUGCUGGAGACCCUGCUUGCACUCAUGCGAAGUACAUUAACCACUAUGGGGCAAUAAGUUUACCUAAUAAUCUCUUUCUCACUCUCUCUCUCUUCCUCUCUCUUUCUGUCGAGGUACACAUGAUACUCCUGAGAUACCAGUGAUCCUGACCUCUUCUGCUCUCCGAACCUGCCUCAUCAAUUGGAUGUUACACGCUGCUACUGAGGAUGCCCCAACAUGGGGCAGCCUAAAGACCAUUGAGAUUGCUGAUAAAGGAGUGGUCAAACAACAAAGAUCACUCGAAUAGCAAGAGAUGUAAUAGUCCACAAGGUCUCAAAGGAACCCAGGGUAAUGUCUUAGCAACUAACGGCCUCUCUCACAUUAGCUAAUGUCAAUGUUCAUGAGUCCAUCAUCAAGAGAACACUGAACAACAAUGGUGUGCAUGGCAGGGUUGCCAUUGCUCUCCAAAAAGUACAUUGCUGCUCUUCUGCAGUUUGCUAAAGAUCAUGUGGACAAGCCAGAAGGCUAUUGGAAAAAUGUUUUGUGGAUGGAUGAGACCAAAAUAGAACUUUUGAGUUUAAAUGAGAAGUGUUAUGUUUGGAGCAAGGAAAACACUGCAUUCCAGGAUAAGAGCCUUAUUCCAUCCAUGAAACAUGGUGGUGGUAGUAUCAUAGUUUGGGCCUGUUUUGCUGCAUAAGUAAUGUCAGCUUGGACCUAAUGUGUCGUGUCUGUGGAAGGUUCACGAAUGAGUGUUCUAUGGAUUUUAUUCUACAGUCAAAGAGGUUCCUGGCUACAAAAUGACAUUCCAAACUAAAUUAUAUAUUAAUGCUUUAUAUUAGAAGAUUAUUAUAGGCUCACGUUAGGGAAAUAAAUGGUCACAUUUUGUAGCCUAUUAUACUUCUUCCCAAAUUCAGUUCCAUACACAGCACUGAUGUUCCCUUUGUGUCUGUAAUGAACACUGUAAGCAGACACUCGGUAUUGUGUCUCUCUAAAGCCAUGCAUCUCAUCAGUGCUCAUUUUGAUCUUUUGAGCAUUGCAGAACAAAAAGAAAAGCCAACAAUACAGCGGACAUCUCAGCCGGUUCCUGCUGUCCAGGAAAAUAAACCAAAUUUCAGAGAACUGAAGAUAGAUGACCUUCUGCACGUCGACUGGUCAUGCUGCCUGUGUGGCAUGCUUAAGGAAUUUUCAACACUCCUUUGGGUCACAAUACAAACAGCUUGAACUUUCCCCUGCUAAAAAUCUAAUGUAUUAGCAUUUUAAUCCUAAUUUGUUAAUACCAUAAUAUUUAAACCCUGGUUUGUGUAUGCCUUUAAAAAUGAUAGUACUGCAGAAACAAUAGAUUUGUCUGCUAUAAUAGCUGUAUAUCAAUUACUUGCACUACACUCUCGGAGAGUAAAAGUGUAACAAAAGCAUAUGAAACUUUUUCCUUUGUAUAGCUUUAUUCUCAAAACUAAUUAUGGGCCAUUUAUGUAGGCUACAGCAAAUCAUUUUAAAGGAAGGCUAGCCUGUCUGGUCUGAUCCCACAGAUGAGCUACUGUAGCAGAAAUUGCUGAAAAAGUUCAUGCUGGCUAUGAUAGAAAGGUGUCAGAACACACAGUGCAGUUUUAUUCUAUCAUAGUUACAAUUAUACUUGUCAUUAUAAGCUUGCACAACUGCUCUGCUGUCUUGCACAAACAUUCUUAUCGUCCUCCACAAGUUCCUCCAUUAGACACUUUUUUAUAUCAUUAUAAUUAAGAUAAACUUGACCUUGAACUACUCCACUCUAUUGCAAUUGCAAAUAAUUAUGUAUUGCCAGGAAUAUUAUUUUCCUCCUUGGGUUCUUGCACAAGCCACAGACCAGUCAGUAGGCCCAUGCUGACCCCUGUCCACCAUAGAAAGCAUCUACAAUGUGCAUGAGAGCAUCAGAACUGCACCAUGAAGCAAUGGAAGGAAGUGGUCUCAUCUGAUUACUCAUGAGGUACAUGUCAAAGAGUUCAAGGUGUUGACUUGGACCGCCAUAUUCUCCAGAUCUCAAUCUGAUGAGAUCUGAGAGUUCCUGUGAGAUGUGCUAGACAAACAAGUCCGAUCCACGGAUGCCCCUCCUAGCAACCUGACCUUGAACUAAACUCUAUUGCAACAAUAAUGAUGUGUUGCCAGAAUAUUACGUUCUUCCUCUGGCUUUUGCACAUGUCGCUUUCUCAGUACAUUACUGAAAAACAGUUUGCACAGCAGUUACCAUACAGCUGCUAAUUUUCUUCUUAUUGUAUGUGGAACAUGAAUAUGAGUCUCUGUAAGUACAAGUUGACUGUUUAAUUUGAAGUGGUGUGCUUGGACCAAACACCAAGAUGAAUUCCUAGUACAUUUUAAAAGUGCCUGGCAAAUAAGGUGAGCCCUGAUUCCUGAGAAAGGUGACAUGAGUGAGUGACAAGAAAAGGUUCCGUUUAGAUUAUUUAGAGAGCUGUACCUUCCAUGGUACACACCUUGUUACCUCACCUACCUUUUGUCUCUUAGAGGACCUAGAGGACACAGUGUACCAUAACUCAUUUAAGGUCGCAGAUAACAUCACAUUGAAGGACAUAAGAAGAACCUCCGAGGUUUGAUCAUUGUACAACUUGUUGUACAGCUUGUUGUAAAUUAAUGAUCUAUGACGGAAGAAAGGAACAUGAACGUCGGUCGGUCACCACCGACAUCGCCACGUCACCUGAUCACACCCCGCAAACAUCAAGCAACGAGCAGGUAAUACCUCAACUGCUUUUGUAACGUGUCACCCCAGACUGACACAGAAAUGAGCUCAGCACUUCGCCGGCCUGCUAAGGACGCAGAUCAUCCCUGAAACGGUUGACGCAAAGACACGGUGUCUGGCCCCGUUUUUCGUUACAAUUUGGAAACCCAUGGUCACAGCGCUAUGAAAAUUGGAUGAGCAAUUCGCAGAUGUGCAGAUUGCACAGAUCCUGGCCAAGCAAGCCGCGCUGUUUACUCUGUGUGAAGCUCAGUGCUCGCUUUAUAGAAAGCCAAAUGGUCCAUAAAACGCGCAGGACGCAAAUGGUUGAUUUUUGUGCCUCAAGCUGGGCGCAAAUUGCGCAUUAGGCACGUCUGACCUGACCAGAAAGUCAUCACAAAGACAUUAUACAACAAAGUAAUAGCUACUUAAACAAGCAAUUAGAGCAUCUAAAUUUAUGUGACCGAUAAUCAUCAUUUAUCUGAGAAGCUCCAUUACUUUGCUCUCCAACUAUGAAUAAAGGUACCAAACUGCCAAAAUGUACUUUUCUUUGUCAUUAUGGUGUAUACUACAGACUACAUGGCCAAAAGUAUUUGGACACCGGACUGUCACACCCACAUGUAAACCUUCUCUAAACUAAUGGCAAAAUUUAGAAGCACACAAUUGUAUAGGAUGUCUUUUUGAUGCUGUAGCAUUACAGUUUUCCUUCACUGGAACUAAGAGGCCUAAACGUGUUUCAGCACGACAGUGCACCUGUGCACAACGCAAGCUCCACGAAGACAUGGUUUGCUAAGGUUUAAGUGGAAGAACUCAAGUGGCCUGCACAGACCCCUGACCUCACUAAUGCUCCCGUGAGCAUAAAUGAAUGGGUAAUUCCCCACAAUUGUGGGUAAUUCCCCACAAUCACACUCCAAAAUCUAGAAGAAAGUCUUCCCAGAAGAGUGGAUGUUGUUAUAAGGGCGACUAAAUCUAUAAUGGAACAAGUGUGAUGGUCAGGUGUCCACAAACUUUUGGCCAUGUAUUGUAUCUUUUACCUGGGACAGUACAUCUGGUGUAUCCUCAGUAACAAGGA